GACGAACGCUGGCGGCGCGCCUAACACAUGCAAGUCGAACGAGCGAGAGAGAGCUUGCUUUCUCGAGCGAGUGGCGAACGGGUGAGUAACGCGUGAGGAACCUGCCUCAAAGAGGGGGACAACAGUUGGAAACGACUGCUAAUACCGCAUAAGCCCACGACCCGGCAUCGGGUAGAGGGAAAAGGAGCAAUCCGCUUUGAGAUGGCCUCGCGUCCGAUUAGCUAGUUGGUGAGGUAACGGCCCACCAAGGCGACGAUCGGUAGCCGGACUGAGAGGUUGAACGGCCACAUUGGGACUGAGACACGGCCCAGACUCCUACGGGAGGCAGCAGUGGGGAAUAUUGCACAAUGGGGGAAACCCUGAUGCAGCGACGCCGCGUGGAGGAAGAAGGUCUUCGGAUUGUAAACUCCUGUUGUUGAGGAAGAUAAUGACGGUACUCAACAAGGAAGUGGCGGCUAACUACGU
Molecule: ribosomal RNA, 465 nt
Filed under: uncultured bacterium
Lineage: Bacteria
Description: partial 16S ribosomal RNA
Rfam family: Bacterial small subunit ribosomal RNA
Source: RNAcentral